AUUGAACGCUGGCGGCAGGCCUAACACAUGCAAGUCGAGCGGAUGAAGAGAGCUUGCUCCUGGAUACAGGGGCGGACGGGUGAGUAGUGCCUAGGAAUCUGGGUGGUAAUUUGGGAGAACGUGCGGAAACGGGCGCUAAUACGGCAUACGUGCUGAGGAAGAAAGGGGGAGAGCUUCGGACCUUACGCUAUUAGAUGAGCCUAGGUCGGAUUAGCGAGUUGGCGGGGUAAAGGCCUACCAACGCGACAAUCCGUAACUGGUCUGAGAGGAUGAUCAGUCACACUGGAACUGAGACACGGUCCAGACUCCUACGGGAGGCCGCAGUGGGGAAUAUUGGACAAUGGGCGAAAGCCUGAUCCAGCCAUGCCGCGUGUGUGAAGAAGGUCUUCGGAUUGUAAAGCCCUUUAAGUUGGGAGGAAGAGCAGUAAGUUAAUACCUUGCUGUUUUGACGUUACCCACAGAAUAAGCACCGGCUAACUUCGUG
Molecule: ribosomal RNA, 484 nt
Filed under: uncultured bacterium
Lineage: Bacteria
Description: partial 16S ribosomal RNA
Rfam family: Bacterial small subunit ribosomal RNA
Source: RNAcentral